GGCCGCCUAGCGUAAUGGUUAACGCGCUAGUUUCCGGUUAGGAUAGCUAGAGAUUGUGGGUUCGAGUCCCAUGGUGGUCG
RNAcentral lists this transfer RNA (80 nucleotides) under Lentinula aciculospora. It matches the Rfam family "tRNA". From Rfam's summary of the family: Transfer RNA (tRNA) molecules are approximately 80 nucleotides in length. Their secondary structure includes four short double-helical elements and three loops (D, anti-codon, and T loops). Further hydrogen bonds mediate the characteristic L-shaped molecular structure. tRNAs have two regions of fundamental functional importance: the anti-codon, which is responsible for specific mRNA codon recognition, and the 3' end, to which the tRNAs corresponding amino acid is attached (by aminoacyl-tRNA synthetases). tRNAs cope with the degeneracy of the genetic code in two manners: having more than one tRNA (with a specific anti-codon) for a particular amino acid; and 'wobble' base-pairing, i.e. permitting non-standard base-pairing at the 3rd anti-codon position. The record is from Rfam by way of RNAcentral. Lineage: Eukaryota; Fungi; Basidiomycota; Agaricomycetes; Agaricales; Omphalotaceae.